CGACGCCCUCUUUUGGACCGUUGGAAAACAACCAACCGUUGGUUUUUUAGCUACAUUUAGCUUCAAAUUACUAGUUUUAUCUCAAUUAAAUUAAUUAAAAUGAGCAAACAGUUGCUUAUUUACACAUCCAGCAGUCAUUGAGCAACAUUAUCAUUCACUUGAAGACGUGUUAUCUGGCCAACUGAUGAAUGGAUUUCAAAGAGCCGGUCGGGUUGCUGUGGUUACAAAAAAGAAAGGACGUCUGGGCCCGUAGCUUUGCACAGGCCUCCCAGGGGCUUCAGGACAUCCAACACCACAGGCCAGCUCUUGAGAAGGAGGCAGGGACAAUAGUACCUUCAGGUCCCUAUCCAGGCGCAGGAGAUACCACUGGGGCCUCAUUGACAAAUUGUCCUUGUCUGGCCGCAUGAGAGAGUGGGGAUUGCGGUAAUUGCAUAUUUCCCUCUAAUUGCAUUUGUCACAUGUGGGGUCUGCUGCUGUGGAGCCAGGUCUGAGGCCCUUCUCAGUGAUGUGUUAAACCAAACAGCUGAACUCUCACCUGCACCGCGAGAAAGGGGAUGUGCAAGAAGAGGCCUGCAAAGAGGGCAAUAAAUUAUGCAGUGGCACAAAACAUCAGCAGAGCAGCAGUGGAGUCGGGCACAGCGGCUACUGCCAGACGGAGACAUGCUGCAGGUCCAUUAAAGCCUUGGACGUGGUCAUGAAGGAGUCGACUCCAUGGUGUGCUGUUUGAGGACAAUCAAGGGCUUCUACCUGCGAGAUCACAAAACAGUCUCCAGAGGAGUAUGCAUGAUAACAUACUUACUUUUAUUGUCAGCUUCUGUUAUGAUUAGAGUUUAAUAUUGACUAUUAUAAUAAAUACAAAGUCUUUAUUACAUGUAGUGCCAGAAUCAAAAAUAAUCUGACUGAGGAUUUAAGGUUUUCUCAUGAGAAAAUAAUAAUCUGGAUCUGUUUGAUGUAUUUUCAGAUAGAGAUGCAACAAACAGUAAUUUUAUUAUCGAUUAAUCGUUGAAACUAGUCAAAUAUGCCCAUUAAAUUUAAAUUUGAUGAUUUGAUCAAACGCCUUAUUUUGUCAGAUGAAAUGCCCCAA
Molecule: long non-coding RNA, 1084 nt
Organism: Larimichthys crocea (large yellow croaker)
Lineage: Eukaryota; Metazoa; Chordata; Actinopteri; Sciaenidae
Exons: 3
Source: RefSeq, a predicted model, not a curated record